UACGUAGGCAGCGAGCGUUGUUCGGAAUUAUUGGGCGUAAAGAGCUCGUAGGCGGUCUGUCACGUCGGCUGUGAAAUCCCGAGGCUCAACCUCGGGUCUGCAGUCGAUACGGGCAAACUAGAGUAUUGCAGGGGAGACUGGAAUUCCUGGUGUAGCGGUGAAAUGCGCAGAUAUCAGGAGGAACACCGGUGGCGAAGGCGGGUCUCUGGGCAAUAACUGACGCUGAGGAGCGAAAGCGUGGGGAGCGAACAGG
RNAcentral lists this ribosomal RNA (253 nucleotides) under uncultured bacterium. Its description in RNAcentral is "partial 16S ribosomal RNA". It matches the Rfam family "Bacterial small subunit ribosomal RNA", at positions 524 to 776 of the family's 1533-position model. The record is from RNAcentral.